UAUUCUACAAAGCUUUUGAGUAGCUUUGCUGUUCAAAAACAGUGGGGAUUUAACCACCUUCUCAACCAUAUAAAUCUCCAAUCUUGUCUCCUCCAUUUUCUGAUAGCACCACCAUGGGUACUUAUGCUAAAACCAUGAUUCUCUUUCUCUUGGUACUCUAUCUUAUUCCAUUUAUAGCCAAAGUUAAGGGCUUGGAUGCUGGUGCAACUUCAGCUGACUCUGGAAUUAAUGAGGGUAUGGUUGAAGUGAAGAUGAGGAAGCUGAAACUAGAUGUUGACAUUGUAAAAGACUAUACUCCGGUUAUUCCAAAUCCUAAACACGAACCACCGCCGAGAGGAAAACCGGGGACAUCAGCCGGAAGUGGUGGUGGCGGCGGCAGCUGAGGACUCUUGAGAAGCACGAACUGUCUACAAGCUUAAAGUAGUACUACUUUUUUUUUUUUUCUGGUUGUCUCUGCUAGUGUUUUAAUCACAUGGGGCAUAUUUAAGACUUCACCGAAUAAAGAACCAGAGAACUAUUAAGUAAAA
Molecule: long non-coding RNA, 527 nt
Organism: Gossypium arboreum
Lineage: Eukaryota; Viridiplantae; Streptophyta; Magnoliopsida; Malvales; Malvaceae
Exons: 3
Source: RefSeq, a predicted model, not a curated record